This 1400-nucleotide long non-coding RNA is filed under the name Cucumis sativus (cucumber). RNAcentral describes it as "long non-coding RNA (CSAT_LNC002617)". Lineage: Eukaryota; Viridiplantae; Streptophyta; Magnoliopsida; Cucurbitales; Cucurbitaceae. The record is from RNAcentral.
GGUGCCGUACAAGGAGGAGGUAACCGACAGGUGUAGGUGGCGGGGGAGGGACUGUACAGCUUCUUCCGGUACGCUUUUUUGUCGGACGAUUUAUUUGUCCUUUAUCUUCCCUCGUUUCAAAUAAUCGGAUCGGGAGACCAAAGAGCAAACCAAUUUCAUUCCAAAUAUUAAUAACUUUAUUUAUUUUAACUUUAGAAAAUAUCCAUUUUAUAACUUUAACUUUUCAACUAAUAUCAAUACCUUCUUUUCCACCCAUAUGUGUGUGUGAGUCUAGUAGCAUUCUACGUUCUCAAAAUAAACCUAUGAAAAAAGAUAUUGCUUGCAGUAAUGAUUUGGGUUUAUAUAAUGACUUGUGUUUCACAUUAAAUAUGCUAAAAUGAGAAUAAUUUAACUAACAUUUGAAUAAUUAACUUUAACGUUAGAGGUUUGAUUCUCAAUUCUUCAAAGGAAUUAUAUGUUUUAUCUUAUGCCUACCAAAAUUAUGUUUUAUCUUAUGUCUACCAUUUUUGUCACUUUUUCCUCCCUUUGAAAUGUCAUACAAUGUAGAGAAAAGUUAGAGCUAGCCUUAGAGCAAUUUUGUUACUUCAAAUUAUAACAUAACUCCAACCAAAAAUAUUUCAUUUCAAAAGUACUUAGAAGAAAAUACUUUUUAUACUCAUUUAAUGAACAUGUAUAAUCUAAAUACUACAAACUAGUAUAGUGCUUAUAUUAUCAUAAUCAUCGUCAUGGCCAAAGAUUCAAUUUCUCCGUCUGAUGCAUUUAAUUUAUUAUCUUUGAAAUAUACAUAUACAUUAGAGCUAAAUCCUUGUUUAAAUUUGUAGGUUUUAAAUAUACUAACUAUCAAUUCAGGUAAAACUCACUAGAAAUGUAUAUAUAGAUUCAUAUUGUUGAGUAAAUUAACAUUGAAAUAAAAACUCAUUAACGAACUAAACUCCGUUUGAUAAUGAUUUUAUUAUUAUUUAUUUCACAUUUACCUAUUUAGGUAUCUUGUUAUAAUUUUAGUUUGCUUUAAACAAUUAAAAUCUUAGUCAUAUUUUAAAAAUAAUUUUGUUUAACGUUGAUAAACAAAAUAGUGUUCAUGAAUUAACUAAUUUAUAAAAACAACUAAUUAAGGACUAAAUUCUUUUCCUAAUUAAACUUUGGUGGAUUAGGGCGUGUGCUUAGCACGUGGUGGAAUCUUUACGGUUGCAGUGGAUCAGCACAAAUGUUAGCCAAGCCCCGAAAGUUUAACGAAAUGACGGAUUUCACCUCAAAGGAAGGAUCGUAUCGAGCCUUUUGGAAGGGCAAUGGUGUAGUUUUGCAAGCAGUAACUUUGAAAGACGGAUACGGUUGAAAGGGAAACGUUGGAAUGGUUCUGCACGUGCCACGCGUCAUGUAAUGGUUGGCAAAGCAAAGGCGUG